GACGAACGCUGGCGGCAUGCCUAACACAUGCAAGUCGAACGGAGAAUUCCUUCGGGAAUUCUUAGUGGCGAACGGGUGAGUAACGCGUAGGCAACCUGCCCUUUGGAUGGGGACAACAUUCCGAAAGGAGUGCUAAUCCCCGAUGUUGUCGUUGUUCCGCAUGGUACAUCGACCAAAGAAAUUCGGUAUGGGAUGGGGAUGCGUUCCAUUAGCUUGUUGGCGGGGUAACGGCCCACCAAGGCGACGAUGGAUAGGGGUUCUGAGAGGAAGGUCCCCCACACUGGAACUGAGACACGGCCCAGACUCCUACGGGAGGCAGCAGUGGGGAAUAUUGGGCAAUGGGGGAAACCCUGACCCAGCAACGCCGCGUGAAGGAAGAAGGCCUUCGGGUUGUAAACUUCUUUUACCAGGGACGAAGAACGUGACGGUACCUGGAGAAAAAGCAACGGCUAACUACGUG
RNAcentral lists this ribosomal RNA (460 nucleotides) under uncultured bacterium. RNAcentral describes it as "bacterial SSU rRNA". It matches the Rfam family "Bacterial small subunit ribosomal RNA", at positions 28 to 507 of the family's 1533-position model. The record is from RNAcentral.